Molecule: long non-coding RNA, 957 nt
Organism: Podarcis raffonei (Aeolian wall lizard)
Lineage: Eukaryota; Metazoa; Chordata; Lepidosauria; Squamata; Lacertidae
Exons: 2
Source: RefSeq, a predicted model, not a curated record
UUGGUUUCUGUUUUGUAUAUUGCUUUGAGAUUUUGUUUGGUAUUUUUUAUGAUAAAAUGCUAGCUCUUUUUUUCUUAAAUAAAAAAGAAAGAUGGGUCCCAGUGUUGUUGUUUUUAUCCUAUUCAUAACCUUCUUUCUCUUUAGUACAUAGGAAGAAGGAAUGGUUGAAGAUUUCUAUCGGCUACCAUUAAAGGAAAAUAUAAGGAGGCCUGCGCCCCACAAGUGCCUUACUUUGACCAUCAGGGAAUGCUUGCUUACUUGAGCCAAUGUAAGGACCAGCAAAAUCAUCUCUACUGCCUCAGAGAUAAAAUGCGAACCAGGCACAACUGCGGUGAUCUGAACAAUGGUCAAAGCGAUACCAAAGUAUGCAGUGCUGAAAUUAACAACCCAUUCAAAUUGCAUGUGCCUUGUGCCAGAAUAUUAUGGUCUUUGGUUUGACUAUAUACAGCAUUUAUUAUCUCUACAGUUCAUUACUUAUUUGGUGUGAGUGGGGCCUGUUUCAUUGGCAUUUCCACCGAAUGUGCCAACUUUAAGGAAGGCAAAAAAUCAUGCAUGGAUGAAUGUAGGUUAGAACAUUCUUUGUCAGAUACACACCACGUUCUUGAUGUGAGUUACAUUGAUUGGAGGAGUCUGAUACUAUCCUUUUGGUUGUGUCCCACCAGACUGCCUACACAUGAAUAUUCAUAUUUGUAUUCCUACAGGCAAAGGUGGAGUCCACUUAGAGUUUGCUUUUACUUAGCAACCAAGGAAUCUCUUUCUUUUCAAAAAUGUAAAUGGUAACAGGAAAAUAGCAUGCAUUUAUAAACUAAAUAUAUUGCAAAGAGUUGUUGGUGUCUUUUUUUUAAAAAAUCCGCUUUGAACUAAUAAUAUGUAACUUGUAGUUUUUAUAUUCUGCAUUAUACUCUGCCCUGAAAUCUACUCUGAUGAAGGAUUGGCUAUAAAUAUGCCUAAUAAUUU